GCUCCCAUAGUUUAAUGGAUAGAAUAAAGGAUUCCGGUUCCUUCGGUUACGGUUCGAUUCCGUAUGGGAGUA
RNAcentral lists this transfer RNA (72 nucleotides) under Bacteroidales bacterium. Its description in RNAcentral is "tRNA-Arg". It matches the Rfam family "tRNA". Rfam says of the family: Transfer RNA (tRNA) molecules are approximately 80 nucleotides in length. RNAcentral also lists the same sequence under 1 other name. Lineage: Bacteria; Pseudomonadati; Bacteroidota; Bacteroidia; Bacteroidales. The record is from RNAcentral.